GAUGAACGCUGGCGGCGUGCCUAAUACAUGCAAGUCGAGCGAACAGACGAGGAGCUUGCUCCUUUGACGUUAGCGGCGGACGGGUGAGUAACACGUGGAUAACCUACCUAUAAGACUGGGAUAACUUCGGGAAACCGGAGCUAAUACCGGAUAACAUGUUGAACCGCAUGGUUCAACAGUGAAAGACGGUCUUGCUGUCACUUAUAGAUGGAUCCGCGCCGCAUUAGCUAGUUGGUAAGGUAACGGCUUACCAAGGCAACGAUGCGUAGCCGACCUGAGAGGGUGAUCGACCACACUGGAACUGAGACACGGUCCAGACUCCUACGGGAGGCAGCAGUAGGGAAUCUUCCGCAAUGGGCGAAAGCCUGACGGAGCAACGCCGCGUGAGUGAAGAAGGUCUUCGGAUCGUAAAACUCUGUUAUUAGGGAAGAACAAAUGUGUAAGUAACUAUGCACGCCUUGACGGUACCUAAUCAGAAAGCCACGGCUAACUACGUG
This 497-nucleotide ribosomal RNA is filed under the name uncultured bacterium. RNAcentral's name for it is "partial 16S ribosomal RNA". It matches the Rfam family "Bacterial small subunit ribosomal RNA", at positions 28 to 507 of the family's 1533-position model. The record is from RNAcentral.